This 74-nucleotide transfer RNA is filed under the name Ackermannviridae sp. RNAcentral describes it as "tRNA-Trp". It matches the Rfam family "tRNA". From Rfam's summary of the family: Transfer RNA (tRNA) molecules are approximately 80 nucleotides in length. Their secondary structure includes four short double-helical elements and three loops (D, anti-codon, and T loops). Lineage: Duplodnaviria; Heunggongvirae; Uroviricota; Caudoviricetes; Pantevenvirales; Ackermannviridae. The record is from RNAcentral.
GCUCCUGUCGAUUAGUGGUAAGUCCACGGUCUCCAAAAUCGUUGUCGGUGGUUCGAUUCCAUCCGGGAGUGCCA